CGAAUUUGUAUAAUGAGAAGCGGAAUUCAGUAAGCGUUGGAUUGUUCACCCACUAAUAGGGAACAAGACAUGGGGUUUAGACUGUCGUGAGACAAGUU
RNAcentral lists this non-coding RNA (98 nucleotides) under Linnemannia elongata AG-77. Its description in RNAcentral is "Mortierella elongata AG-77 Eukaryotic large subunit ribosomal RNA". It matches the Rfam family "Eukaryotic large subunit ribosomal RNA", at positions 2885 to 2984 of the family's 3401-position model. The record is from Rfam by way of RNAcentral. Lineage: Eukaryota; Fungi; Mortierellomycota; Mortierellomycetes; Mortierellales; Mortierellaceae.